This 341-nucleotide long non-coding RNA is filed under the name Fukomys damarensis (Damara mole-rat). Its description in RNAcentral is "lncRNA (ENSFDAG00000025656.1)". Lineage: Eukaryota; Metazoa; Chordata; Mammalia; Rodentia; Bathyergidae. The record is from RNAcentral.
UGCAGUUGCGUGAAGUAUGAUUCGUCCUUUAUAGAUCCUACCCGAAGAGCCACAGAUACACGCAACCAUUUUCUAGCACAAACGCAUCUGGACUCUGCGGGAGGGGCAAGGUCUUUACUUGUCCUCUUCCUGUAGGCCGGCUCCCCACAGGGGCUCUUCACCUCGGAGUUUAACAUCUGAAUCAUGCUCACCUAGGAUGAGCGUCUGAUUUGCCUUCUGAGAUCAUUCAGCCUAAAAAUGAAGUCCUGUUACUGAACGUGGAGACCUUGUGGAUAAAACAAUGUAAGUUGCCCGUGUGUAUGUGACGGUGCGUCUGAGAAAGGACUGAGUUCAGUCAGACA